RNAcentral lists this ribosomal RNA (250 nucleotides) under uncultured bacterium. RNAcentral's name for it is "partial 16S ribosomal RNA". It matches the Rfam family "Bacterial small subunit ribosomal RNA", at positions 524 to 773 of the family's 1533-position model. The record is from RNAcentral.
UACGAAGGGGGCUAGCGUUGCUCGGAAUUACUGGGCGUAAAGGGCGCGUAGGCGGGCGUUUAAGUCAGAGGUCAAAUCCCGGGGCUCAACCUCGGAACUGCCUUUGAUACUGGACGCCUAGAGUAUGGGAGAGGUGAGUGGAACUCCGAGUGUAGAGGUGAAAUUCGUAGAUAUUCGGAAGAACACCAGUGGCGAAGGCGACUCACUGGCCCAUUACUGACGCUGAGGCGCGAAAGCGUGGGGAGCAAAC